CAGUAGCCGCGGUAAUACGGAGGGUGCAAGCGUUAUCCGGAUUCACUGGGUUUAAAGGGUGCGUAGGCGGAUCUGUAAGUCAGUGGCGAAAUCUCCAGGCUUAACCUGGAAACUGCCGUUGAUACUAUAGGUCUUGAAUUUUGUGGAGGUUAGCGGAAUAUGUCAUGUAGCGGUGAAAUGCAUAGAUAUGACAUAGAACACCAAUUGCGAAGGCAGCUGGCUACACAACUAUUGACGCUGAGGCACGAAAGCGUGGGGAUCAAACAGGAUUAGAUACCCCGGUAGUCCCUGUCUCUUAUAC
Molecule: ribosomal RNA, 301 nt
Filed under: uncultured bacterium
Lineage: Bacteria
Description: partial 16S ribosomal RNA
Rfam family: Bacterial small subunit ribosomal RNA
Source: RNAcentral